AAACCUAAAUUUUUAAUAAACGUUUAAUCUGUUCUUAGCAGCUUAAUAUCUGGUACGGGUUCAAAUGGACCCCAGAAAAUUAAACAAAUUUUCGGCAUACGGUGGGAAUUCAUUGCUUAUACUGAUCCCGCCACGGGUUGACCCGGUAUUGCAGCACUUCCGAGAUCGGCUCACCCUCU
This 179-nucleotide small nuclear RNA is filed under the name Daphnia pulex (common water flea). RNAcentral's name for it is "U2 spliceosomal RNA". It matches the Rfam family "U2 spliceosomal RNA". Rfam says of the family: U2 is a small nuclear RNA (snRNA) component of the spliceosome (involved in pre-mRNA splicing). Complementary binding between U2 snRNA (in an area lying towards the 5' end but 3' to hairpin I) and the branchpoint sequence (BPS) of the intron results the bulging out of an unpaired adenosine, on the BPS, which initiates a nucleophilic attack at the intronic 5' splice site, thus starting the first of two transesterification reactions that mediate splicing. Lineage: Eukaryota; Metazoa; Arthropoda; Branchiopoda; Diplostraca; Daphniidae. The record is from Rfam by way of RNAcentral.